This 691-nucleotide long non-coding RNA is filed under the name Homo sapiens (human). RNAcentral's name for it is "HSALNT0401796". The record is from RNAcentral. Lineage: Eukaryota; Metazoa; Chordata; Mammalia; Primates; Hominidae.
GUACGUGUCUUCCGGCCAGCUCUCUUCCGCUUCUGCUGUCUUGAUGACGCACAGUGCUGGCGCAAGUCGUCUUGCGCCAGGCGACUGGGUCUGAGGAGGCAGGAGUUAUUCAUUCCCUUAAGCUUUCAGGCCGGGGGGAGAAUCUUUCAGGUGGUAGCUGCAAGAACUCUUAGUAUGUUGACCUCACCUCUGCCUUCCACAUACCACUACCAGUGAGGAAUUAGGAAUGCAUGAGAAGAGUGUCCAAGAAGAGUGUCCUCAUUCAUGCAAGGCUUAAGAGAGAAUGCAGGUCAACAUCACCAUGUCAAUCAGAGGUGCAGAUGCUGAGAGCACUUUCUAGUCAAGUCCUGCAUGUUCAUUUCUGUCUCAAGUCAGCUUCUCUGAGAAUCCAAUUUAUAAAAAUAUAUUUGUGAAUGUAUAAGUAAAGUGACUUGGAUUUUGUCUACGUACAAGGACUUCUAUGCCUGCAUAAAACAGCUUUCAGAGUGACUAACCAUACCAGUUUGACCAAGACUGUAUUGGCUGCAGCACUUAAAAGCUCACAUCCCGGAAAUCCUUUGGUCCUCGGUGAAUUGGGAUGGUUGGUUACCCUAUUACUGAUGAUUGUAAUUCUCAGCGUAGUUUGGAACCAGCAGCAGCAGCAGCUCCCCAGACCUACUGAAUCAGAAUCUACAUUUUGAUAAGAGCCCAG